GAGCCAGUGCAGUGUAGUGGUUUGAGCACUGGACUGCAAUUAUGGAGACCAGGGUUCGAAUCCCAGCUAGGCCA
Non-coding RNA from Phrynosoma platyrhinos (Desert horned lizard), 74 nucleotides. The record is from the annotation of a GenBank genome assembly. NCBI's taxonomy places the organism in Eukaryota, Metazoa, Chordata, Lepidosauria, Squamata, Phrynosomatidae.